RNAcentral lists this ribosomal RNA (267 nucleotides) under Triticum aestivum (bread wheat). Its description in RNAcentral is "partial small subunit ribosomal RNA". The record is from RNAcentral. Lineage: Eukaryota; Viridiplantae; Streptophyta; Magnoliopsida; Poales; Poaceae.
AUGGUGGAGACCAAGAAACAUAUUGUGUAUCCUUUGGUUUAUCAGCUUGUGAAUCUAGCACUUGUAUUGCCUGUUGCCACUGCUACAGUUGAGAGAUGUUUUUCGGGCAUGAAAAUUGUGAAGACAUUUUUGCGCAAUCGUCUUGGUGAUGAUGCAUUGAAUCACAACCUUAUUUGCUAUGUGGAGAAGGAAGAAAUGAGAAAAGUUACCAAUGAUGCAGUCAUUGAUCGCUUUGAGGUCAUGAAUGAACGUAGAGGGCUAUUUUAA